CUGGGCCUGAAGCUCAGUGAGGCAGAGAGGAGUCACAGCAUCUGGGAGCGGCGACCCCUGGAUCUGGGCAUGCAGGUUGAGAAACGGGGCCUGGCGGUCCCUGGGGGACGCCCCUCGAGGUGGAAACAGGCUGCGAGAGGGGAAGUGGUACAGGAUCCGACCAGACUUUCCUUGAACACAACCAGUGCCUGGCUAAGAGGGAUGCUCAGCUGGAACCACAUUCAGAGACAGACCAGAGAAACUGAGGCAGAGGGCUGAUUUCCCCAGGGAAGACCACAGGUCCACUGCUCCCCUCCCAAUGCUUGCAGGACUGGCCCUGGGAGAGGACAGCAGGCUCUUCAUUCUCUCCUGCUUUGACAUAUCCACAGCCUGACUUCUCCAGAUCCAUCUCGCCUAAAUCCAUCCACAGGCCAGACUGAGCCAUGUGAAAACUGAGCAGCACAGGGAAGCUUUGGGAGGAAAACCAUUCUCCCUUUAUGUGGGAGCACAGCAGACAUAAUGCCUUCCUGGGGGUGCUUGAGAGGAGAUGCUGCCAAUCUUCAUCAUCACGGAUACCAUUUAUGGGACACCUAUACAGGGACCCUUCUCUCUGUGACUUUCCGAGAGGCUCAAGCAAAGAGACAAGACUGCUGGAGCAAACGCCCACCUUCACCCUGACAGCCUGCUCAUGCCAGGAGCACAGAGACGGCGGUGUGAGCAUGGGACCCAGGUGCCCACAGAUAAACAUCCAGACACUGUGCGAGCGCAGACAUACUUGAGGGCCCACAAGCCAUCUUCCACACGCACACGCAGGCACGCUGGACCCUCGCCCUCCUUCCUCCCUAGCCUGGCGUCUGUUCCGUCAUGGUAGACCCGUCUACCCCCCGAGUAGUCCUCUUGCCCUGGCUGAGCCCACACUCCUUCCCAAACUCUCAAACCCUCCGCCAAGUGGGUGGCACAGCUGUUCAAGAAUAAAGGAACCACAGGGCACUGCUGGCCUUGGCAUAACCAGGCCCUGACCUCCGAGGAGGCCCUGCCACUCUGAUGUCCCGGAUUAGUGCCAGCUGCCGCCCACUCUGGAAUGCCGUGGAUGGAUCCCUCCGAGCUGGAACCUCCUCCUCCUCCUUCCCCUGACAAGUCCCUUGUUCCCUCGUUCCCUAGGGCUGGGUCCUUGGGCUCCACUCCAACUGCUCCCCACCCCUGUCCUGAUGGUGCAGACAUGUGUCGGGAAGGUAGCACAGGGCUGAGGCCACUCCCGCAGGGCGAUAUCACUUCUUUGCCAACCCGAGCAGCCUGGGGUGAGGGUCUGGGGAUGAGUCCAUGGCAGAAGAUAACAGGGCCUUGGCCAGAGGUCUGUGGGCUGCAUGUUGUAGACGAACCCAGGUGGCAGGAGGUGGUUAGCACCAGGUGACUGUGUCUGGGGCCCUGAGGUUGAGCAAGAGACAGACUUGGAGAAUGGGUUCCUUCCGAGUUUGUCCAUAUGCAGCUGAGUGAGGCGAGGAGGCGGCACGGGUGACCGCUAGUACUUACUGGGCACUGGCUUCAUGCAGGGCACUGCGCUGAGCACUUGGUACACAGGCACACAGUUCUCCCGACCCCAUGGAAUGAGUGCUAUUGUUGUCCAUUUUGCAGAUGGGAGAAAGGGCCAGAGAGGUUGUAUCACUUACCCAGAGUCACCUGGUCAGCAAGUGGUAGCACCUAGAUUCAAAUACAAGCUGUUUGACUGCCAAAC
Molecule: non-coding RNA, 1711 nt
Organism: Manis javanica (Malayan pangolin)
Lineage: Eukaryota; Metazoa; Chordata; Mammalia; Pholidota; Manidae
Source: RefSeq, a predicted model, not a curated record